GAUGAAGAACGCAGCGAAAUGCGAUACGUAAUGUGAAUUGCAAAUUCAGUGAAUCAUCGAGUCUUUGAACGCACAUUGCGCCCCCUGGUAUUCCGGGGGGCAUGCCUGUCCGAGCGUCAUUGCUGCCCUCAAGCACGGCUUGUGUGUUGGGCCCCGUCCUCCGAUCCCGGGGGACGGGCCCGAAAGGCAGCGGCGGCACCGCGUCCGGUCCUCGAGCGUAUGGGGCUUUGUCACCCGCUCUGUAGGCCCGGCCGGCGCUUGCCGAUCAACCCAAAUUUUUAUCCAGGUUGACCUCGGAUCAGGCAGGGAUACCCGCUGAACUUAAGCAUAUCAAUAAGCGGAGGA
RNAcentral lists this unclassified non-coding RNA (345 nucleotides) under soil metagenome. RNAcentral describes it as "partial contains 5.8S ribosomal RNA, internal transcribed spacer 2, and large subunit ribosomal RNA". The stretch from base 1 to 119 matches the Rfam family "5.8S ribosomal RNA", at positions 35 to 154 of the family's 154-position model. The record is from RNAcentral.